UCAGUCAGCGCAGCGUAAUAAUAGAAACUAACCAGGAUUCCCUUAGUAACGCCGAGUGAACUGGGAUGCCAAUAUAUAAUAUGUACCUCGCGUGCAUAAAUUAGCCCGUCGAUACUAUCCUAGCGUAUGUCACCGGUCUUCGGGUCGGUACUCAAAUACGCGGGAAUUGUAGCAUCGUAAUAAUUAAAAAUAUACAGCACACACACACACACACACACAUAAGAACCCACGCCAACCUGCGUACACCACUUGUAAACACACAGCGUCUCCACGUUGGAAAGCAAGUAUAUAUCCUCUUUGGAUAUGCCAUAGAGUGUGACAGCCACGUUUCACCCAUAUGAUAGUUACGCACACACACACACAUACACCAAUGGCGCGGCGUGCGAGUGCACAACGUAUAUAUACUAUAACCUGAGUCGAGUUAUUUGGGACUAUAGCUCUAAUAGUUUGGUUGGUGGUAAUGACACAUCAAAGGCUAAAUAUUGGUUAGUCGAUGCAUAUUGCGGAGACCGAUAGCAUACAAGUACCGUAAGGGAACGAUGAAAAGCACCCUAUUGAGUUCACGGCGCAGACUCGACAUUCGUGUCUUGUCCAGCGCCCAACAACUACAGUGGGAGUGAAAGAGAGAGU
Molecule: ribosomal RNA, 630 nt
Filed under: Ammonia sp. genotype T2
Lineage: Eukaryota; Foraminifera; Rotaliida; Rotaliidae
Description: partial large subunit ribosomal RNA
Rfam family: Eukaryotic large subunit ribosomal RNA
Source: RNAcentral